UAGGGAAUCUUCGGCAAUGGGGGGAACCCUGACCGAGCAACGCCGCGUGAGUGAAGAAGGUUUUCGGAUCGUAAAGCUCUGUUGUUAAGGAAGAACGAGUGUGAGAAUGGAAAGUUCAUGCUGUGACGGUACUUAACCAGAAAGGGACGGCUAACUACGUGCCAGCAGCCGCGGUAAUACGUAGGUCCCGAGCGUUGUCCGGAUUUAUUGGGCGUAAAGCGAGCGCAGGCGGUUAGAAAAGUCUGAAGUGAAAGGCAGUGGCUCAACCAUUGUAGGCUUUGGAAACUGUUUAACUGGAGUGCAGGAGGGGAGAGUGGAAUUCCAUGUGUAGCGGUGAAAUGCGUAGAUAUAUGGAGGAACACCGGUGGCGAAAGCGGCUCUCUGGUCUGAAACAGACGCUGAUGCUCGAAAGCGUGGGGAGCGAACAGG
RNAcentral lists this ribosomal RNA (429 nucleotides) under Verrucomicrobiota bacterium. Its description in RNAcentral is "Verrucomicrobia bacterium partial 16S ribosomal RNA". It matches the Rfam family "Bacterial small subunit ribosomal RNA", at positions 355 to 776 of the family's 1533-position model. The record is from RNAcentral. Lineage: Bacteria; Pseudomonadati; Verrucomicrobiota.